This 378-nucleotide long non-coding RNA is filed under the name Jatropha curcas. RNAcentral's name for it is "long non-coding RNA (JCUR_LNC000360)". Lineage: Eukaryota; Viridiplantae; Streptophyta; Magnoliopsida; Malpighiales; Euphorbiaceae. The record is from RNAcentral.
AACACUUGGCUCAUUUCUUAUUUUUGAAUAUGAUAAGAAAAAUUGCUAUUUCAAUGUUAUCAUAUUCGACAGAAGUGCUUCAGAAAUUGACUAUCCAUAUAUAGUCAAUGGUGACAAUGAGAGGAUUAAUAAUCUUGAAGAAGCUCAAAAUGAUUUCUGUGGUCAAAACUUGGAAGAUUUCUUGCCCAACCGGAAAGUAAAAGAGGAAUCACCAGAGAGGAUUAAUAAUCUCGACAGAAGUGCUUCAGAAAUUGACUAUCCAUAUAUAGUCAAUGGUAACAAUGAGAGGAUUAAUAAUCUUGAAGAAGCUCAAAAUGAUUUCUCUGGUCAAAACUUGGAAGAUUUCUUGCCCAACCGGAAAGUAAAAGAGGAAUCACC